RNAcentral lists this ribosomal RNA (432 nucleotides) under uncultured bacterium. Its description in RNAcentral is "partial 16S ribosomal RNA". It matches the Rfam family "Bacterial small subunit ribosomal RNA", at positions 29 to 507 of the family's 1533-position model. The record is from RNAcentral.
AACGAACGCUGGCGGCAUGCCUAACACAUGCAAGUCGAACGAGACCUUCGGGUCUAGUGGCGCACGGGUGCGUAACGCGUGGGAACCUGCCCUUAGGUUCGGAAUAACUCCCCAAAGGGGUUCCUAUUCCCGAUUAUUUUCUUCGACCAAAGAUUUAUUGCCCUUGGAUGGGGCCGCGUUGGAUUAGCUAGUUGGUAGGGUAAAAGCCUACCAAGGCGACGAUCCAUAGCUGGUCUGAGAGGAUGAUCAGCCACACUGGGACUGAGACACGGCCCAGACUCCUACGGGAGGCAGCAGUGGGGAAUAUUGGACAAUGGGCGAAAGCCUGAUCCAGCAAUGCCGCGUGAGUGAUGAAGGCCUUAGGGUUGUAAAGCUCUUUUACCCGGGAUGAUAAUGACAGUACCGGGAGAAUAAGCUCCGGCUAACUCCGUG